Stegostoma tigrinum is the source of this 765-nucleotide long non-coding RNA. RefSeq lists it as uncharacterized. The record is from RefSeq and is a predicted model, not a curated record. The transcript is spliced from 2 exons. Lineage: Eukaryota; Metazoa; Chordata; Chondrichthyes; Orectolobiformes; Stegostomatidae.
UCAAGUGGUGGGAGGAACGCAUCCUCUGCGCAGAGUCUGAAAUAAAGAACUGGCUCUUAUCCAUGACAACGUGACUGAGUCUUUAGUAUUAAUUGCAAACCCUAUCGUGACAAUUUUAUUUACCACGACAAAGGUUUGCCCAGAUUGCAGUAGAAAGGGGACCUCCAAUAAUGCUCCUAACAUGAAAAAGAUAGCUUUGGGAUUAGAAUUUACAAGCUGAGAAAGAAAAUGAACAGAAGCAAAUCCUUUGGAGCCAGGAAACAUUUUGGACUGAUCCUGAGAACACAGAAUAUUUAUUUAAAAGAUGCACCAUUGAAGCAUCCUAUCCAGAGACAUCACAGCUUGGCAAUGGCAACUGCUGCACCCAAGACAUCAAGAAAUUACAGAGUUGUAAAUGCAGCCCAGUCCAUCACAAGAACCAGCCUUCCUUCCAUUGACUCCAUCUAUACCUCCCACUGCCUCAGGAAAGCAGGCAACAUAAUCAAAGACCCCCUCCCACCCCAGUUACACUCUCUUCCAUCGGGCAGAGGAAAUAAAAGUUUGAAAACAUGUACAAACAGAUUCAAGAACAGCUUCUUCCCUGCUGUCAUCAGACUUACAAAAGGACCUCUCAAACUAUCUCUGUACCUUCUCUGCAACUACUGACACUAUUCUACAUUUUGUUCCAUUACUCAUUUAUAUAAAAGUAUGAUUUGUCUGGAUAGCAUGCAAAACAAUACUUUUCACUGUCGUACAUGUAACACUAAUAAAUCAAGUCAAAACAAA